CCUACGGGUGGCAGCAGUGGGGAAUAUUGGACAAUGGGCGAAAGCCUGAUCCAGCCAUGCCGCGUGUGUGAAGAAGGCCUUCGGGUUGUAAAGCACUUUCAGUGGGGAAGAAAGCCUUGGGGCUAAUACCCUCGAGGAAGGACAUCACCCACAGAAGAAGCACCGGCUAACUCCGUGCCAGCAGCCGCGGUAAUACGGAGGGUGCGAGCGUUAAUCGGAAUUACUGGGCGUAAAGCGCGCGUAGGCGGUCUGAUAAGCCGGUUGUGAAAGCCCCGGGCUCAACCUGGGAACGGCAUCCGGAACUGUCAGGCUAGAGGGCAGGAGAGGAAGGUAGAAUUCCCGGUGUAGCGGUGAAAUGCGUAGAGAUCGGGAGGAAUACCAGUGGCGAAGGCGGCCUUCUGGACUGACACUGACGCUGAGGUGCGAAAGCGUGGGUAGCAAACAGGAUUAGAUACCCCAGUAGUC
This 465-nucleotide ribosomal RNA is filed under the name Vreelandella stevensii. Its description in RNAcentral is "partial 16S ribosomal RNA". It matches the Rfam family "Bacterial small subunit ribosomal RNA", at positions 338 to 795 of the family's 1533-position model. The record is from RNAcentral. Lineage: Bacteria; Pseudomonadati; Pseudomonadota; Gammaproteobacteria; Oceanospirillales; Halomonadaceae.